Parcubacteria bacterium 32_520 is the source of this 74-nucleotide non-coding RNA. Lineage: Bacteria; Candidatus Parcubacteria. The record is from Rfam.
GUCCCCGUAGCUCAAUAGGACAGAGCGACAGACUUCUAAUCUGUAGGUUGUGCGUUCGAUUCGCGCCGGGGACA